GAGUGAGAAGGGUAGUUGUUUUCUUAAUUCUCGUACAGUCGUCGCUUGUGAGAGCGAAGCAAAAGGGUAGACACUCUUACCACCUCAUCAUCAUCCCUAUCACAUCAUCCUCUCUCUCUCUCUCUCUCUGUGAAAGAGAAGAGAGGGAAGAAAAUCGAGCAAAUUAAUGGCGCCCAAGAAGAAUGAAGCCGUAGAAAUUAAGGCACUCAACAGGGGAGCAUGGACUGCUGAAGAAGACAGAAAGCUUGCUCAAGUCAUCGAAAUCCAUGGGGCCAAGAGGUGGAAGACCAUUGCAGCCAUGGCAGGGCUAAACAGGAGCGGAAAGAGCUGCAGGCUGAGAUGGCUGAAUUAUCUGAGACCCAACAUCAAGAGGGGAAACAUCACAGAUCAAGAAGAGGACUUAAUUCUCAGGCUUCACAAACUCCUCGGAAACAGGUGGUCUUUGAUUGCGGGGAGAUUACCAGGUCGAACAGAUAAUGAGAUCAAGAACUACUGGAACUCUCGUCUGAGCAGGAAGAUUAGCCAGAGGGAGAAGCGCGGCGGCGGGGAAGACCCUUCGGCGAGAGAGAGCUCCGGCUCCGAGCUAAUUAGGCCUCCUGACCAGGCCGCCGGCGGGGCGACCAUGGUCGACGGCGACGACGAUUUCUUCGAUUUCUCCAACGAAAGUCCCAUGACCUUGGAGUGGGUUAGCAAAUUCCUAGAACUGGACGAAGAUUCCUACGAAUUAUCAUGAAGUUCUCUGGGUUUCGACCCCACGGUCUGCCAGAAAAUAAUGCUCAAUUUCUUCUUCUUCUUCUUCUUCUUCUCCUUCCGGUGCAUGAACAUGGGCUCGACUUGCAAUUGGUCUGUAAAUCGCCUUCCUUAAUAUUCUCUCUCAUUGUCACUUCCCCAAAUUCUACCAUCCAUAAUACUCUCUCUCUCUCUCUCUCUAUAUAUAUCUCCAUCUUUACUAUCCUGUCAUUUUUUACUUUUUAAUUGCCAUGUCAUUCUCGUUGCUUUAUUUUCUUGUCUUUUGUUUGAUGAUGGCUUUUAGCAAGGUGGUAGCUAGCUUGAUUAGCAGUGGCUAGCAUGUGACGGCCUAGACAAUUCUUCCCUCCAUGCUUCCUCAGCCUUUCAAACAUAACUUCACAUGACGACCCUGUAGAAAUACCCUUUUGCAUAUAACAACUUCACUGGUGAAUAUAUCAGUGAAUUCUGGAGAAUUGAACCGUAAACACAAUUUUGUCAUCCAACCUUUAGUCUUUUCAAGCUAGGCGCUGUUGUUUGAUCCUAGAACAGGCAAGAGUGGAUGAUUGAGAUGUGAUGAUAACUUGUGAGAGAACUGGAGAUAAAAGGUGUCGUUCAGCUGACGAGGGACAAAGGAAAAUAGGCUUUUUACCGAGAAAGGUGAAACUGUGAAGACAAAAAGAGAGAUGAUUUGAGAGUGAAAGGGGUAAGAAUCUAUAUAUAAUCAAACGGGACGAAAUUAGAGAGAGGACAGCCAGGAUUUAAUUAGUUGGUGGGACGAAGCCACAGUUCAAAGGUCCAUUCCAUUUGCAAAGAGAGACUUUCCUGGAAAAAAAGUCUCCAAAACUUUCCAGCAGCAAGCAAUUAAGUUACCUUGGCAAGAAAACUGGGUGCAGUGAUCAACCCCACCUUAUUCAAGGAUAUGCUGAGCUGAAAAGGGUAACAGAAUAUGUUUAUUGAAAACCAUUCGAACCAGAGAGGUGGAUUUUGGGUCUUGCAAUCAAAAGAGGGUGAUAAAGGUUGUUUUCCUCCAUUUCUAAAUUAUAAAAGCUCUCUUCUUUUGAUUUGAUGCAUAAGUUAAAAAGUCCCCGCAACGACAAAUAAGACAGGAAUAAGAGAAGGGAACAACUCAUUAAGCUCUGUUCUUUUGAUUUGAUGUCGUUCGUUGGUACACGUUUGGUGCACUCGUGACUAGUUACUACGAGUAUAGUUUAUAACUCAUUUUGUUGCUUGUUCUGGGCACAAGGAUUGUCUAAAAUAGUGGUGGCGACAACUGUUUUUCACACCACGACAUCCUAAGCAACAUGGCAUUUGUAGAGGUAAAUGGGUGCUUUGAGGCCUACGAUGCUCCUAAUCUAUAUUUUUGUUCAUGUAGUUUUAUAAUUUUUUUUUUUUUUUGUGUGUGAUUAUUCGUAUUUUUAAUUUUACAUCAUUAUUUAUAUUUUCGAAUCAAUUUGAUUCAUAUAUUUUGAUUUUUCUUUUUUUGUGUGAUCACUCGAAUUUUUUGUUGUUUCGAUUAAUCUC
RNA transcript from Diospyros lotus (date-plum), 2250 nucleotides. It is a transcript of the gene named transcription factor MYB114-like, with no coding region annotated. The transcript has 4 exons. NCBI's taxonomy places the organism in Eukaryota, Viridiplantae, Streptophyta, Magnoliopsida, Ericales, Ebenaceae. The record is from RefSeq and is a predicted model, not a curated record.